GAUGAACGCUGGCGGCGUGCCUAAUACAUGCAAGUCGAGCGAACGGACGAGAAGCUUGCUUCUCUGAUGUUAGCGGCGGACGGGUGAGUAACACGUGGAUAACCUACCUAUAAGACUGGGAUAACUUCGGGAAACCGUAGCUAAUAACGGAUAAUAUUUUGAACCGCAUGGUUCAAAAGUGAAAGACGGUCUUGCUGUCACUUAUAGAUGGAUCCGCGCUGCAUUAGCUAGUUGGUAAGGUAACGGCUUACCAAGGCAACGAUGCAUAGCCGACCUGAGAGGAUGAUCGGCCACACUGGAACUGAGACACGGUCCAGACUCCUACGGGAGGCAGCAGUAGGGAAUCUUCCGCAAUGGGCGAAAGCCUGACGGAGCAACGCCGCGUGAGUGAUGAAGGUCUUCGGAUCGUAAAACUCUGUUAUUAGGGAAGAACAUAUGUGUAAGUAACUGUGCACAUCUUGACGGUACCUAAUCAGAAAGCCACGGCUAACUACGUG
RNAcentral lists this ribosomal RNA (497 nucleotides) under uncultured bacterium. Its description in RNAcentral is "partial 16S ribosomal RNA". It matches the Rfam family "Bacterial small subunit ribosomal RNA", at positions 28 to 507 of the family's 1533-position model. The record is from RNAcentral.